UUAACAGGAAAAAAAAAAAGGAAAUUUGAUUAAAGAAUUUAAAGAAAGAAGAAACAGGAUCUGCUGAGAAGAAUAAGGAAAUAAAGACAAAGAAGGAAAGAAAUUUUAGGGAAGAGGGAAGAAGAAUUAGAGGAAAGAGAGGAAGAGAGAAGAAGAAACCUGGUACUUGGGAAGAGUGAUCUGCCAUAGACGCAACUCCCAUGAAACAAUUUCUAGUAAUUGCCCACUGAUCUAACAGCUUUAAUACCAAUUUGUUACGUAGCAGAAUCUCAGAACACCAUAAUACCAGAAUUAGAAGAAGAAGAAGAGAAAAAGAGAGAGAGAGAGA
RNAcentral lists this unclassified non-coding RNA (328 nucleotides) under Hevea brasiliensis (rubber tree). The record is from RNAcentral. Lineage: Eukaryota; Viridiplantae; Streptophyta; Magnoliopsida; Malpighiales; Euphorbiaceae.